AGAGUUUGAUUCCUGGCUCAGGAUGAACGCUGGCGGCGUGCCUAACACAUGCAAGUCGAACGAAGCUCUCUUGUUGAUUUUUUCGGAAUGAUUCAAGAGAUGACUUAGUGGCGGACGGGUGAGUAACGCGUGGAUAACCUGCCCUUUGCAGGGGGAUAACAGUUAGAAAUGACUGCUAAUACCGCAUAAGCGCACACUACCGCAUGGUAGAGUGUGAAAAGCCGAGACGGCAAAGGAUGGGUCCGCGUCUGAUUAGCUAGUUGGUGAGGUAACGGCCCACCAAGGCGACGAUCAGUAGCCGGCCUGAGAGGGCGACCGGCCACAUUGGGACUGAGACACGGCCCAGACUCCUACGGGAGGCAGCAGUGGGGAAUAUUGCACAAUGGGGGAAACCCUGAUGCAGCGACGCCGCGUGAGCGAAGAAGUAUUUCGGUAUGUAAAGCUCUAUCAGCAGGGAAGAUAAUGACGGUACCUGACUAAGAAGCUCCGGCUAAAUACGUGCCAGCAGCCGCGGUAAUACGUAUGGAGCAAGCGUUAUCCGGAUUUACUGGGUGUAAAGGGAGCGCAGGCGGCGGAGUAAGUCUGAUGUGAAAGAUCGGGGCCCAACCCCGGGACUGCAUUGGAAACUGCUUUGCUAGAGUAUCGGAGGGGUAAGCGGAAUUCCUGGUGUAGCGGUGAAAUGCGUAGAUAUCAGGAGGAACACCGGUGGCGAAGGCGGCUUACUGGACGAUAACUGACGCUGAGGCUCGAAGGCGUGGGGAGCAAACAGGAUUAGAUACCCUGGUAGUCCACGCCGUAAACGA
This 803-nucleotide ribosomal RNA is filed under the name uncultured bacterium. Its description in RNAcentral is "bacterial SSU rRNA". It matches the Rfam family "Bacterial small subunit ribosomal RNA", at positions 8 to 809 of the family's 1533-position model. The record is from RNAcentral.